AGAGGCCAGUGUUGAUCAGUGACUGUCCAGGACUUUCAGAGACACUGACACGCCGGCAGCACGAUGAUGAUGUCACUGAUUCUACUGCUGGCCACCCUGAGGCUCCUUGUUCAGGGUUCAUCAGGAGAAAUCAUCCUGACUCAGUCUCCUGGAUCUCAGUCUGUUGCGCCAGGACAGUCUGUCUCUAUCAGAUGUAAAGCCAGUUCAAGUGUUACCAAUGACUUACAGUGGUACCUUCAGAAACCUGGAGAAUCUCCCAACCUCUUGAUUUAUAAUGCUCAAACCCUUCAGUCUGGAGUUUCAGAUCAUUUCAGUGGGACUCAGUCUGGAACUGACUUCACUCUGACCAUCAGUGGAGUUCAGACUGAAGAUGCAGGAGAUUAUUAUUGUCAGCAGGAUUACAGCCGCCCGUUCACACAGUGAUACAACGUAGUACAAAAAC
Molecule: non-coding RNA, 442 nt
Organism: Sander lucioperca (pikeperch)
Lineage: Eukaryota; Metazoa; Chordata; Actinopteri; Perciformes; Percidae
Source: the annotation of a RefSeq genome assembly